Molecule: ribosomal RNA, 1270 nt
Filed under: Flavobacterium piscis
Lineage: Bacteria; Pseudomonadati; Bacteroidota; Flavobacteriia; Flavobacteriales; Flavobacteriaceae
Description: bacterial SSU rRNA
Rfam family: Bacterial small subunit ribosomal RNA
Source: RNAcentral
GGGUAUAGUUUCUUCGGGAACUAGAGACCGGCGCACGGGUGCGUAACGCGUAUGCAAUCUACCUUUUACAGAGGGAUAGCCCAGAGAAAUUUGGAUUAAUACCUCAUAGUAUAUAGCCCUGGCAUCAGGAUUAUAUUAAAGUCACAACGGUAAAAGAUGAGCAUGCGUCCCAUUAGCUAGUUGGUAAGGUAACGGCUUACCAAGGCUACGAUGGGUAGGGGUCCUGAGAGGGAGAUCCCCCACACUGGUACUGAGACACGGACCAGACUCCUACGGGAGGCAGCAGUGAGGAAUAUUGGACAAUGGGCGCAAGCCUGAUCCAGCCAUGCCGCGUGCAGGAUGACGGUCCUAUGGAUUGUAAACUGCUUUUAUACGAGAAGAAACACUCCUUCGUGAAGGAGCUUGACGGUAUCGUAAGAAUAAGGAUCGGCUAACUCCGUGCCAGCAGCCGCGGUAAUACGGAGGAUCCAAGCGUUAUCCGGAAUCAUUGGGUUUAAAGGGUCCGUAGGCGGUUUAAUAAGUCAGUGGUGAAAGCCCAUCGCUCAACGGUGGAACGGCCAUUGAUACUGUUAGACUUGAAUUAUUAGGAAGUAACUAGAAUAUGUAGUGUAGCGGUGAAAUGCUUAGAGAUUACAUGGAAUACCAAUUGCGAAGGCAGGUUACUACUAAUUGAUUGACGCUGAUGGACGAAAGCGUGGGUAGCGAACAGGAUUAGAUACCCUGGUAGUCCACGCCGUAAACGAUGGAUACUAGCUGUUGGAAGCAAUUUCAGUGGCUAAGCGAAAGUGAUAAGUAUCCCACCUGGGGAGUACGUUCGCAAGAAUGAAACUCAAAGGAAUUGACGGGGGCCCGCACAAGCGGUGGAGCAUGUGGUUUAAUUCGAUGAUACGCGAGGAACCUUACCAAGGCUUAAAUGUAGAUUGACCGGGUUGGAAACAGAUCUUUCGCAAGACAAUUUACAAGGUGCUGCAUGGUUGUCGUCAGCUCGUGCCGUGAGGUGUCAGGUUAAGUCCUAUAACGAGCGCAACCCCUGUUGUUAGUUGCCAGCGAGUCAAGUCGGGAACUCUAACAAGACUGCCAGUGCAAACUGUGAGGAAGGUGGGGAUGACGUCAAAUCAUCACGGCCCUUACGCCUUGGGCUACACACGUGCUACAAUGGCCGGUACAGAGAGCAGCCACUGGGCGACCAGGAGCGAAUCUAUAAAACCGGUCACAGUUCGGAUCGGAGUCUGCAACUCGACUCCGUGAAGCCGGAAUCGUCUUAGUAAUG